Molecule: long non-coding RNA, 528 nt
Filed under: Numida meleagris (helmeted guineafowl)
Lineage: Eukaryota; Metazoa; Chordata; Aves; Galliformes; Numididae
Description: lncRNA (ENSNMEG00000008957.1)
Source: RNAcentral
AGUAAUCAAUUUCCAGGUAAUUGUAAAAAAUAUUUCUGUGUUGUCAGAAUUGGGUUGAUUACAGGAAACCAUCACUGUCACAUGUAACAUGCUUUUUAAAUUGCUAUUUUCUCAGAAGAGUAUAUCUUGAUACGUGACAACAGUGAUCUGGAUUUUCAUCCUGUUUAGAGAAAAAAGUGUUUCAGUGUUUUUUUCCUCAUCCUGAGUUCACUGACUGCUUGAAGAUAGCUGUGAGUAAAGUUGUGCCUUCAAAGCAAACAAGAUGUGACCCAUUCAGAAAUCAACUGUCUAUUUCUACUAUUGCAUCUAAGCAACAAAGUGAAGACAAUGCUCCUUAAGAAAGGAACAGAAGCAUCUGAAGCAAGCUGAAAGUACAGACUGCAGAGUACGCAUGAGGAACAACUGAUACAAUCACUAAAAACAAAAUUUCCUGUUAAAUCAUGGGAGUGGGGGAGUAUGAAUUCAUCUUUACAAAGACAGACAUGAAGAAACAGAGGUUUUCAAAGCAGUAUUAUGUAUAUAACCGAC